ACAUUUUUUUCCAGGCAAAAAAAAACGAUGUUAUAAAAAAAACAAGUGUGGGUACACUCGGCAAAAUGUGUGUUGUGUGCAUGCAUGUGAAAGUCAAUGUGAGUGCUGUGAAUGUGUGAAAUGCCCCAAAAUUUAUGUGUGUGUAAGUGAAAAUAACCUGAGGACAAGCAGGCUGAAGAUCGCAGGAGGGACACAGGAGGGACCCAGGAACUGGACAAGCCUCUUCUUUGCAGGAUCCGUGACAAGCGCUACAUCAACAGCUGGGACAUCCUGCACUGGUCUCUUGUCAGCCUAUGGGUUCUUGGACUCUCCC
Molecule: long non-coding RNA, 313 nt
Organism: Xenopus tropicalis (tropical clawed frog)
Lineage: Eukaryota; Metazoa; Chordata; Amphibia; Anura; Pipidae
Exons: 3
Source: RefSeq, a predicted model, not a curated record